This 514-nucleotide long non-coding RNA is filed under the name Mus musculus (house mouse). Its description in RNAcentral is "long non-coding RNA chr5:72409443-72409957". The record is from RNAcentral. Lineage: Eukaryota; Metazoa; Chordata; Mammalia; Rodentia; Muridae.
AAAUGGAGAAGCUCCGGGAAGUGGACACAUCUCCCACGGAGUAAAAGGGCCAGGACUCCAGAGGUUGUGGAGAGCAGAAAGCAUCAACAGAAAGAGAACCGCGAGGAGACAGCUAGCUCAGUGGCGCCCAGUACCAACUGCUAGCUGCCAGGACUGGUAUCUCUGGUCUCCUGCAUCGAAAUCCUGAAGAAGAAAGCCCAGGAACUGAUUGAUAAUAUCAGUGAAUGGAGACAAAAGGAUCAUGUACUUAUGACCAACUUCAGAGACAGCCUGAAGAUGAAGGUUUGAGCUCUGACAGAGGAGUUGGGGAAGAUGUACCAGAUGUACAGCCUCCACAGCAAAAUAUCAUUCAGGAAAGACUACAAGAAUUUACCCAGAAAAUGGCAAAAAUCAGCCAUCUAGAAAUGGAACUCAAACAGGCUGCCAAACUAUAGAAACCGUGUACAAGGACCUAUGCGUCCAGUCUGAGGCUCCCACUUCCAAAGAACAGAAUUACAAGGAUGAUGAAUGCUGA